GCUAGCUCGAGAAGCGCUUCCCAUCAUCACCCUGAAGAUGUCAAAAGAUUUUCUUAUCUUUCCGAACAGGAUAUUUGAGUUGUUUUGUGACUCAAAGUUAGCCGAAGCAUCGGUCGGCCUCACGCUUGAGCUGCCAAAUCUGCAUCUUUCUUGAUGUAUUAUCAGGAUUUUUUUUUUGGGGGGGGGGGUUGAUUUUGGAAUUUGAUUUCCAGAGUUCAUGCUAAGCUAACUAGCGCAACUUUUCUUCAAAUUUAUUUUCAGAGCUGGGGGGCGGGGGGGGUUC
This is a long non-coding RNA of Hippocampus comes (tiger tail seahorse), 283 nucleotides long. RefSeq lists it as uncharacterized. NCBI's taxonomy places the organism in Eukaryota, Metazoa, Chordata, Actinopteri, Syngnathiformes, Syngnathidae. The transcript has 2 exons. The record is from RefSeq and is a predicted model, not a curated record.